AUGCAUGUACAAAAAAGCGACACAUUCUUUAUAGAAAAAAAGCAAAGCGAUACAUUCAUUGUAUUCCGAACUUAGACCAUCUCCAUUGGGAAUUUCCUAACCAAAGUUUUAACUUUUAAACAAAAAAAUAUAAAUGGAAGAAGAUAAAAAAAAAAAAAUGCAGAACCUCCUCUUAAUUGGGCAUUUUUAGAGUUGCAGGCUUCUAGGGUUGCUUCUCACCUAAGGAUCUCCGUCGCCCAACGAGGGUUUGCGUCAGUGGUUGAGAGUGUGAAAGCUACCAGUGAUAUCAAUUCUCCGGUCUCUGGUAAGGUGGUGGAAGUUAAUGAGGUUCUGUCCGAGUCCCCUGGACUGGUGAACAGGAGCCCGUAUGAAGAUGGAUGGAUCAUAAAGGUGGAGUUGAGUGAUGCAGGCGAGGUAGAGAAGUUGUGAUGGAUUCUAACAAGUACUCCAAGUUCUGCGAAGAAGAAGACGCCAAGCACUGAGCUUUUCUUUCUUCUGGAAGUUUCCAGACGAAAUCUUGAUUUAUUAUGUACAAUGGACGAAUCAAGAAAAUCUUGAAGAAAAAGAAAAUAUUUAAGAACCCU
This is a long non-coding RNA of Brassica oleracea var. oleracea, 584 nucleotides long. RefSeq lists it as uncharacterized. The transcript has 3 exons. Lineage: Eukaryota; Viridiplantae; Streptophyta; Magnoliopsida; Brassicales; Brassicaceae. The record is from RefSeq and is a predicted model, not a curated record.